GGUUGUUUGGCCGAGCGGUCUAAGGCGCCUGAUUCAAGUACUCAGGUAUCGUAAGAUGCAAGAGUUCGAAUCUCUUAGCAACCA
This 84-nucleotide transfer RNA is filed under the name Nakaseomyces glabratus. RNAcentral describes it as "[Candida] glabrata transfer RNA-Leu". It matches the Rfam family "tRNA". Rfam says of the family: Transfer RNA (tRNA) molecules are approximately 80 nucleotides in length. Their secondary structure includes four short double-helical elements and three loops (D, anti-codon, and T loops). The record is from RNAcentral. Lineage: Eukaryota; Fungi; Ascomycota; Saccharomycetes; Saccharomycetales; Saccharomycetaceae. RNAcentral also lists the same sequence under 2 other names.